This is a non-coding RNA of Pelobates cultripes (western spadefoot toad), 138 nucleotides long. The record is from the annotation of a GenBank genome assembly. NCBI's taxonomy places the organism in Eukaryota, Metazoa, Chordata, Amphibia, Anura, Pelobatidae.
CGGCUAUGUCUUGCCACCCCAGAUGAUUGAGUUAUAUAUAUAUAUAUAUAUACACACACAUAUACACACAUAUACACAUACAUAUAUAUAUAUAUAUAUAAAUAUGACUCAAUCAUCGGGGGUGGCAAGACAUAGCUC